GGAAAAAUGGGGGGGGGGGCCUAACACAUGCAAGUCGAGCGGAAACGAGUUAACUGAACCUUCGGGGAACGUUAACGGCGUCGAGCGGCGGGCGGGUGAGUAAUGCCCGGGAAAUUGCCCUGAUGUGGGGGAUAACCAUUGGAAACGAUGGCUAAUACCGCAUAAUAGCUUCGGCUCAAAGAGGGGGACCUUCGGGCCUCUCGCGUCAGGAUAUGCCCAGGUGGGAUUAGCUAGUUGGUGAGGUAAUGGCUCACCAAGGCGACGAUCCCUAGCUGGUCUGAGAGGAUGAUCAGCCACACUGGAACUGAGACACGGUCCAGACUCCUACGGGAGGCAGCAGUGGGGAAUAUUGCACAAUGGGCGCAAGCCUGAUGCAGCCAUGCCGCGUGUAUGAAGAAGGCCUUCGGGUUGUAAAGUACUUUCAGCAGUGAGGAAGGUGGGUAUGUUAAUAGCAUACACAUUUGACGUUAGCUGCAGAAGAAGCACCGGCUAACUCCGUGCCAGCAGCCGCGGUAAUACGGAGGGUGCGAGCGUUAAUCGGAAUUACUGGGCGUAAAGCGCAUGCAGGUGGUUUGUUAAGUCAGAUGUGAAAGCCCGGGGCUCAACCUCGGAAUUGCAUUUGAAACUGGCAAACUAGAGUACUGUAGAGGGGGGGUAGAAUUUCAGGUGUAGCGGUGAAAUGCGUAGAGAUCUGAAGGAAUACCGGUGGCGAAGGCGGCCCCCUGGCACAGAUA
Molecule: ribosomal RNA, 734 nt
Filed under: uncultured bacterium
Lineage: Bacteria
Description: bacterial SSU rRNA
Rfam family: Bacterial small subunit ribosomal RNA
Source: RNAcentral